UUGGAGGGCAAGUCUGGUGCCAGCAGCCGCGGUAAUUCCAGCUCCAAUAGCGUAUAUUAAAGUUGUUGCAGUUAAAAAGCUCGUAGUUGAAUUUCGGGAUCAAUAUGUCGGUCGUGCCUUCGGUACGUACUGGUAUCAUUGGUCUCUCCUUUCUGACGAACCAUGAUGUCAUUAAUUUGGUGUUAUGGGGAGUUAGGACUGUUACUUUGAAAAAAUUAGAGUGUUUAAAGCAGGCUUUAGCUUGAAUACAUUAGCAUGGAAUAAUGAAAUAGGACGUUCGAACCUAUUUUGUUGGUUUCUAGGAUCAACGUAAUGAUUAAUAGGGAUAGUUGGGGGCAUUAGUAUUCAAUUGUCAGAGGUGAAAUUCUUGGAUUUAUUGAAGACUAACUACUGCGAAAGCAUUUGCCAAGGAUGUUUUCAUUAAUCAAGAACGAAAGUUAGGGGAUCGAAGACGAUCAGAUACCGUCGUAGUCUUAACCAUAAACUAUGCCGACUAGGGAUCGGAUGAUGUUAAUUUUUUAAUGACUCAUUCGGCGCCUUACGGGAAAC
Molecule: ribosomal RNA, 549 nt
Filed under: uncultured Glomeromycotina
Lineage: Eukaryota; Fungi; Glomeromycota
Description: SSU rRNA
Rfam family: Eukaryotic small subunit ribosomal RNA
Source: RNAcentral